This 478-nucleotide ribosomal RNA is filed under the name uncultured Empedobacter sp. Its description in RNAcentral is "bacterial SSU rRNA". It matches the Rfam family "Bacterial small subunit ribosomal RNA", at positions 521 to 1003 of the family's 1533-position model. The record is from RNAcentral. Lineage: Bacteria; Pseudomonadati; Bacteroidota; Flavobacteriia; Flavobacteriales; Weeksellaceae.
UAAUACGGAGGGUGCAAGCGUUAUCCGGAUUUAUUGGGUUUAAAGGGUCCGUAGGCGGGCUAUUAAGUCAGUGGUGAAAGCCCUCUGCUCAACAGAGGAACUGCCAUUGAUACUGAUAGUCUUGAGUACGAGUGAAGCUGGCGGAAUGUGCAGUGUAGCGGUGAAAUGCUUAGAUAUUGCACAGAACACCAAUUGCGAAGGCAGCUGGCUAAUUCGAAACUGACGCUGAGGGACGAAAGUGUGGGGAUCAAACAGGAUUAGAUACCCUGGUAGUCCACACCGUAAACGAUGAUCACUAGAUUUUGGUUUAAAUAUCAGAGUCCAAGCGAAAGUGUUUAGUGAUCCACCUGGGGAGUACGUCCGCAAGGAUGAAACUCAAAGGAAUUGACGGGGGCCCGCACAAGCGGUGGAGCAUGUGGUUUAAUUCGAUGAUACGCGAGGAACCUUACCUGGGCUUGAAAGUUAGUGACCGUUCCUG